AAAUUGAAGAGUUUGAUCAUGGCUCAGAUUGAACGCUGGCGGCAGGCCUAACACAUGCAAGUCGAACGGUAACAGGAAACAGCUUGCUGUUUCGCUGACGAGUGGCGGACGGGUGAGUAAUGUCUGGGAAACUGCCCGAUGGAGGGGGAUAACUACUGGAAACGGUAGCUAAUACCGCAUAACGUCGCAAGACCAAAGAGGGGGACCUUCGGGCCUCUUGCUAUCGGAUGUGCCCAGAUGGGAUUAGCUAGUAGGUGGGGUAACGGCUCACCUAGGCGACGAUCCCUAGCUGGUCUGAGAGGAUGACCAGCCACACUGGAACUGAGACACGGUCCAGACUCCUACGGGAGGCAGCAGUGGGGAAUAUUGCACAAUGGGCGCAAGCCUGAUGCAGCCAUGCCGCGUGUAUGAAGAAGGCCUUCGGGUUGUAAAGUACUUUCAGCGGGGAGGAAGGGAGUAAAGUU
RNAcentral lists this ribosomal RNA (464 nucleotides) under Escherichia coli. RNAcentral describes it as "bacterial SSU rRNA". It matches the Rfam family "Bacterial small subunit ribosomal RNA", at positions 1 to 461 of the family's 1533-position model. Lineage: Bacteria; Pseudomonadati; Pseudomonadota; Gammaproteobacteria; Enterobacterales; Enterobacteriaceae. RNAcentral also lists the same sequence under 1 other name. The record is from RNAcentral.